RNAcentral lists this ribosomal RNA (409 nucleotides) under uncultured bacterium. RNAcentral describes it as "bacterial SSU rRNA". It matches the Rfam family "Bacterial small subunit ribosomal RNA", at positions 350 to 751 of the family's 1533-position model. The record is from RNAcentral.
AGCAGUGGGGAAUAUUGGACAAUGGGCGAAAGCCUGAUCCAGCCAUGCCGCGUGUGUGAAGAAGGUCUUCGGAUUGUAAAGCACUUUAAGUUGGGAGGAAGGGCAUUAACCUAAUACGUUAGUGUUUUGACGUUACCGACAGAAUAAGCACCGGCUAACUCUGUGCCAGCAGCCGCGGUAAUACAGAGGGUGCAAGCGUUAAUCGGAAUUACUGGGCGUAAAGCGCGCGUAGGUGGUUUGUUAAGUUGGAUGUGAAAUCCCCGGGCUCAACCUGGGAACUGCAUUCAAAACUGACUGACUAGAGUAUGGUAGAGGGUGGUGGAAUUUCCAGUGUAGCGGUGAAAUGCGUAGAUAUAGGAAGGAACACCAGUGGCGAAGGCGACCACCUGGACUAAUACUGACACUGAGG